RNAcentral lists this ribosomal RNA (495 nucleotides) under uncultured bacterium. Its description in RNAcentral is "partial 16S ribosomal RNA". It matches the Rfam family "Bacterial small subunit ribosomal RNA", at positions 28 to 507 of the family's 1533-position model. The record is from RNAcentral.
GACGAACGCUGGCGGCGUGCCUAAUACAUGCAAGUAGAACGCUGAAGGAGGAGCUUGCUUCUCUGGAUGAGUUGCGAACGGGUGAGUAACGCGUAGGUAACCUGCCUGGUAGCGGGGGAUAACUAUUAGAAACGAUAGCUAAUACCGCAUAAUAGUAGAUGUCGCAUGACAUUUGCUUAAAAGGUGCAAUUGCAUCACUACCAGAUGGACCUGCGUUGUAUUAGCUAGUUGGUGAGGUAACGGCUCACCAAGGCAACGAUACAUAGCCGACCUGAGAGGGUGAUCGGCCACACUGGGACUGAGACACGGCCCAGACUCCUACGGGAGGCAGCAGUAGGGAAUCUUCGGCAAGGGACGGAAGUCUGACCGAGCAACGCCGCGUGAGUGAAGAAGGUUGUCGGAUCGUAAAGCUCUGUUGUAAGAGAAGAACGAGUGUGAGAGUGGAAAGUUCACACUGUGACGGUAUCUUACCAGAAAGGGACGGCUAACUACGUG